GGCGAGCACCUUGGCGCGCGGAGCUGGCACCUUGGCGCUGUUGGUGGCGGCGGAGACAGCUGUGAAGUGUGAGGUUCUUUGUCUGCUGGCAGCUAGGGGCGACGAGGCGGGACGUCAUGGAAGUGAAGGAUGCCAAUUCUGCGCUUCUCAGUAACUACGAGAUGGAGUCUCGCUCUGUCACCCAGGCUGGAGUACAGUGGCACCAUCCAGGCUCACUGCAACCUCUGCCUCCCGGAUUCAAGUGAUUCUCCUGCCUCAGCCUCCCGAGUAGCUGGGACUACAGGUAUUUCAGUUACUAACUGAUCUGAAAGAGCAGCGUAAAGAAAGUGGAAAGAAUAAACACAGCUCUGGGCAACAGAACUUGAACACUAUCACCUAUGAAACGUUAAAAUACAUAUCAAAAACACCAUGCAGGCACCAGAGUCCUGAAAUUGUCAGAGAAUUUCUCACAGCAUUGAAAAGCCACAAGUUGACCAAAGCUGAGAAGCUCCAGCUGCUGAACCACCGGCCUGUGACUGCUGUGGAGAUCCAGCUGAUGGUGGAAGAGAGUGAAGAGCGGCUCACGGAGGAGCAGAUUGAAGCUCUUCUCCACACCGUCACCAGCAUUCUGCCUGCAGAGCCAGAGGCUGAGCAGAAGAAGAAUACAAACAGCAAUGUGGCAAUGGACGAAGAGGACCCAGCAUAGAAGAGCACAGCUGGCCCCGGCGUUUCAUGAAGUCAGAAGGCCUGGCAGCCAUUUCCUGGACGUUGAGAGGAUUGUUUAUUUGAUUUUUAUCCUCAUCCCAGCAGGCCUGGCUUUGUGGUUAGUUGGGUACAUCACAAAAAUAAGUUAAAAAGAAAUAUUUGUGCCUUGGGGAGAAGAAACAUGGUGAAAACAGGCUGAGGUUGUCAGGGCAGAGAGCUGAAGGUGGGGACAGUGACCGCGGACCCCUCUGUGCUUGAAAGAUUUCCUCCACGGCCUUUGCCCCAGUUGUGGGGAGGUCUCUGUGCACAGCGGGGAAAAUGCUUGUGUCGCCUUUGGUGGGCCAUGUCCUAAUUAGUUUCAUCUGCUUCCCUGGGAACUUACUAAGGGGCCCAGAGCACUGUUGGAAGUCUGGUUAGAGUCCCCAGAGAGUUACUCUAAGUUAAAAUGAGCCACUGACCUUGGCUCACCUUAGAGGAAUUUCCUCGAGAACAACAGAGAUAAGAAAAGAACCGGCCUGGCCAAUCCUUCAACAGCUCUAGAGCCCCUUUUCUCUGCUGGCAGGGGCUUUGUUUACCAGCUCACUGUUUAGGCUAAAUGUUAGGGACCAGAUCACUGCAGUUGAAAACGGGCACUCCAGGCUUAGUGACAGUGGCAGCAGAAACAGUGUUGGCUGCCUUUCUGACCACCCCACUUUCCUGCCCUGAGACAGCAGCCCAGGGCAGGUGCUUCAUAUUCAGACCAGGUAAGCCUCAUUUGCACAACAGUCAAAUUGUUUGUUCCUUUAAAAAGGACACAAUUAGCCUGGCACGGUGACUCAUGCUUGUAAUCCCAGCACUUUGGGAGGGCAAGGCAGGCGGAUCACCUGAGGUCAGGAGUUUGAGACCAGCCUCACCAACAUGGAAAAACCCCAUCUCUACUAAAAAAAUACAAAAUUAACCAGGGGUGAUGGCACAUUCCUGUAAUCCCAGCUACUCGGGAGGCCGAGGCAGGAGAAUCGCUUGAACCCGGGAGGCAGAGGUUGAGGUGAGCCAAGAUUGCACCAUUGCACUCCAGCCUGGGCAACAAGAGCAAAACUUCAUCUAAAAAACAGAAAAUAUUAAGAUGAUUACCAUGUGAAAACCUUUUUAAUAUUCAGGAUUUGGAAAGUAUAGUUGCCCCAGGCAUGUGGUUGUUGCCUUAGGUCCUGCGAAUAUUGCUGAAAAUCGGAUUUUCCACAUUCACUUUCUUCCCUGUUUUAGGGAAGAAAAUGAUCAUAGACAUUCGAUUUUCCAAAUUGGCGCUCUUAUUUUCAAUGCUAAUUGGAUUACUUCUCUUCCAACCCUCCUGCCCGUCCAUCCAUCCCAGUCCCCAGGCAUCUUAACCUUACCAUCUGAGCUUCAGCUGAAAUCUGUUUAUAGGCAACAUUGAAAGUACCAGAUUGGGGCCAGGUGUAGCGGCCCACACCUGUAAUCCCAGCACUUUGGGAGGCGGAGGCUAGCGGAUCAUGAGGUCAGGAGUUCAAGACCAGCCUGGCCAACAUGGUGAAACCCCCAUCUCUACUAAAGAUAUAAAAAACUAGCCGAGCGUGGUGUUGCAUGCCUGUGAUCCCAGCUACUCGGGAGGCUGAGGCGGGGGAAUCGCUUGAACCGGGGAGGCAGAGGUUGCAGUGAGCCAGAUCGUGCAUUGCACUCCAGCCUGGCCGACAGGGUGAGACUCCAUCUCAAAAAAGAGAAAGUACCAGAUUGUACUUUUAAAUCUGUCUAGCGUAUUGAGAAUUUUAGUGGGAGCUGUUGAUUUAUUUCUCAGGGCAUACAUGUGCCAAUCUGUCUCAUUGUUGUCUCUCUCUUUUUUUUUUUUUUUUUUGAGACAGUCUCGCUGUGUUGCCCAGGAGUGCAGUGGCACGAUCUCUGCUCACUGCAACCUCUGCCUCCCAGAUUCAAGCGAUUCUGGUGCCUUAGCCUCCUGAGUAGCUGGGACUUACAGGCACGUACCACUAUACCCUGCUAAAAUUUGUAUUUUUAGUAGAGACAGGGUUUUGCCAUAUUGGCCAGGCUAGUCGUAAUGUCUCUUUUUAACACUGAAUAUGUUAGGUGGUUUUUCUUGAUGGAUUUAGGGUUAACCUAGUUAAUAAUAAAUUGUUUCCAGGUAAUUAUCAAGUUUUGUCAUUUUAUAAAUCUGAAGAGUUAAUAUUGUCAUCGAUACAAAUAAAGUGAAAUCUGACUGAGGCUAAAA
Molecule: RNA transcript, 2896 nt
Organism: Homo sapiens (human)
Lineage: Eukaryota; Metazoa; Chordata; Mammalia; Primates; Hominidae
Gene: CRCP
Gene name: CGRP receptor component
Exons: 7
Source: RefSeq, marked reviewed